GAUUGAACGCUGGCGGCAGGCCUAACACAUGCAAGUCGAGCGGAUGAGAGGAGCUUGCUCCUGGAUUCAGCGGCGGACGGGUGAGUAAUGCCUAGGAAUCUGCCUGGUAGUGGGGGACAACGUUUCGAAAGGAACGCUAAUACCGCAUACGUCCUACGGGAGAAAGCAGGGGACCUUCGGGCCUUGCGCUAUCAGAUGAGCCUAGGUCGGAUUAGCUAGUUGGUGAGGUAAUGGCUCACCAAGGCGACGAUCCGUAACUGGUCUGAGAGGAUGAUCAGUCACACUGGAACUGAGACACGGUCCAGACUCCUACGGGAGGCAGCAGUGGGGAAUAUUGGACAAUGGGCGAAAGCCUGAUCCAGCCAUGCCGCGUGUGUGAAGAAGGUCUUCGGAUUGUAAAGCACUUUAAGUUGGGAGGAAGGGCAGUAAACUUAUACGUUGCUGUUUUGACGU
This 453-nucleotide ribosomal RNA is filed under the name rape rhizosphere bacterium m9040. RNAcentral's name for it is "bacterial SSU rRNA". It matches the Rfam family "Bacterial small subunit ribosomal RNA", at positions 27 to 475 of the family's 1533-position model. The record is from RNAcentral.